GGGAAUGCACGACGCGCGCGAUACUCGCACAAAGUGAGAAGAUUUAGUUCACGGAGAAUGCAUAUGGAUUGAAACUGAAGAGCUGGAAGGAGGACAUUACAACAUCUCUUAUAUUUGCAAGAUGAAGCAGAAAGUCCCAUGCAGGAUGAUGCCUCUCUACAGUGGAUGAUGAAGGCAUUCUGGUUUGCAAACUCAGGAGAGGAACAAAGAACAGAUGUUGACGGGAUCAUAUCUAGAGAUGCGGGCCUACUACACUUCAUACGAGCAAGUGUGCUAAUAUACAUGAAGGUA
Long non-coding RNA from Strongylocentrotus purpuratus (purple sea urchin), 291 nucleotides. RefSeq lists it as uncharacterized. The record is from RefSeq and is a predicted model, not a curated record. Lineage: Eukaryota; Metazoa; Echinodermata; Echinoidea; Camarodonta; Strongylocentrotidae. The transcript has 3 exons.